This 499-nucleotide ribosomal RNA is filed under the name uncultured Glomeromycotina. RNAcentral's name for it is "partial small subunit ribosomal RNA". It matches the Rfam family "Eukaryotic small subunit ribosomal RNA", at positions 591 to 1092 of the family's 1831-position model. The record is from RNAcentral. Lineage: Eukaryota; Fungi; Glomeromycota.
CCAGUAGCGUAUAUUAAAGUUGUUGCAGUUAAAAAGCUCGUAGUUGAAUUUCGGGAUCAGUACGCUGGUCGUGCCUCGGUAUGUACUGGUGUUACUGGUUCCUACCUUCUGACGAACCGUCAUGUCAUUAAUUUGGUGUGGCGGGGAAUCAGGACUGUUACUUUGAAAAAAUUAGAGUGUUUAAAGCAGGCUCGCGCUUUAAUACAUUAGCCUGGAAUAAUGAAAUAGGACGUUCGAUCCUAUUUUGUUGGUUUCUAGGAUUGACGUAAUGAUUAAUAGGGAUAGUUGGGGGCAUUAGUAUUCAAUUGUCCGAGGUGAAAUUCUUGGAUUUAUUGAAGACUAACUACUGCGAAAGCAUUUGCCAAGGAUGUUUUCAUUAAUCAAGAACGAAAGUUAGGGGAUCGAAGACGAUCAGAUACCGUCGUAGUCUUAACCAUAAACUAUGCCGACUAGGGAUCGGAUGAUGUUAAUUUUUUAAUGACUCAUUCGGCGCCUUACG